ACCCUGGUAGUCCACGCCGUAAACGAUGUCGACUUGGAGGUUGUUCCCUUGAGGAGUGGCUUCCGGAGCUAACGCGUUAAGUCGACCGCCUGGGGAGUACGGCCGCAAGGUUAAAACUCAAAUGAAUUGACGGGGGCCCGCACAAGCGGUGGAGCAUGUGGUUUAAUUCGAUGCAACGCGAAGAACCUUACCUACUCUUGACAUCCAGAGAACUUUCCAGAGAUGGAUUGGUGCCUUCGGGAACUCUGAGACAGGUGCUGCAUGGCUGUCGUCAGCUCGUGUUGUGAAAUGUUGGGUUAAGUCCCGCAACGAGCGCAACCCUUAUCCUUUGUUGCCAGCGAUUCGGUCGGGAACUCAAAGGAGACUGCCGGUGAUAAACCGGAGGAAGGUGGGGAUGACGUCAAGUCAUCAUGGCCCUUACGAGUAGGGCUACACACGUGCUACAAUGGCGCAUACAAAGAGAAGCGACCUCGCGAGAGCAAGCGGACCUCACAAAGUGCGUCGUAGUCCGGAUCGGAGUCUGCAACUCGACUCCGUGAAGUCGGAAUCGCUAGUAAUCGUGGAUCAGAAUGCCACGGUGAAUACGUUCCCGGGCCUUGUACACACCGCCCGUCACACCAUGGGAGUGGGUUGCAAAAGAAGUAGGUAGCUUAACCUUCGGA
This 662-nucleotide ribosomal RNA is filed under the name Pantoea sp. RNAcentral's name for it is "bacterial SSU rRNA". It matches the Rfam family "Bacterial small subunit ribosomal RNA", at positions 784 to 1447 of the family's 1533-position model. The record is from RNAcentral. Lineage: Bacteria; Pseudomonadati; Pseudomonadota; Gammaproteobacteria; Enterobacterales; Erwiniaceae. RNAcentral also lists the same sequence under 1 other name.